UACGGAGGGUGCAAGCGUUAUCCGGAUUCACUGGGUUUAAAGGGUGCGUAGGAGGGCAGGUAAGUCAGUGGUGAAAUCCCCAAGCUUAACUUGGGAACUGCCGUUGAUACUAUCUGUCUUGAAUACCGUGGAGGUGAGCGGAAUAUGUCAUGUAGCGGUGAAAUGCUUAGAUAUGAACAUAGAACACCAAUUGCGAAGGCAGUUCGCUACACGAAUAUUGACUCUGAGGCACGAAAGCGUGGGGAUCAAACAGGA
RNAcentral lists this ribosomal RNA (255 nucleotides) under uncultured bacterium. RNAcentral describes it as "partial 16S ribosomal RNA". It matches the Rfam family "Bacterial small subunit ribosomal RNA", at positions 524 to 777 of the family's 1533-position model. The record is from RNAcentral.